Molecule: small nuclear RNA, 107 nt
Organism: Ochotona princeps (American pika)
Lineage: Eukaryota; Metazoa; Chordata; Mammalia; Lagomorpha; Ochotonidae
Source: Ensembl
AUGCUCACUUUGGCAGCACAUAUACUAAAAUUGGAAUGAUACAGAGAAGGUUAGCAUGGCCUCUGCCCAAGGAUGAAAUGCAAAUUCGUGAAGCAUUCUAUAAUUUU